RNAcentral lists this ribosomal RNA (1036 nucleotides) under Stipitochalara longipes. RNAcentral describes it as "SSU rRNA". It matches the Rfam family "Eukaryotic small subunit ribosomal RNA", at positions 75 to 1120 of the family's 1831-position model. Lineage: Eukaryota; Fungi; Ascomycota; Leotiomycetes; Helotiales; Hamatocanthoscyphaceae. The record is from RNAcentral.
UAUACGGUGAAACUGCGAAUGGCUCAUUAAAUCAGUUAUCGUUUAUUUGAUAGUACCUUACUACAUGGAUAACCGUGGUAAUUCUAGAGCUAAUACAUGCUAAAAACCUCGACUUCGGAAGGGGUGUAUUUAUUAGAUAAAAAACCAAUGCCCUUCGGGGCUCCUUGGUGAAUCAUAAUAACUUAACGAAUCGCAUGGCCUUGCGCCGGCGAUGGUUCAUUCAAAUUUCUGCCCUAUCAACUUUCGAUGGUAGGAUAGUGGCCUACCAUGGUAUCAACGGGUAACGGGGAAUUAGGGUUCGACUCCGGAGAGGGAGCCUGAGAAACGGCUACCACAUCCAAGGAAGGCAGCAGGCGCGCAAAUUACCCAAUCCCGACACGGGGAGGUAGUGACAAUAAAUACUGAUACAGGGCUCUUUUGGGUCUUGUAAUUGGAAUGAGUACAAUUUAAAUCCCUUAACGAGGAACAAUUGGAGGGCAAGUCUGGUGCCAGCAGCCGCGGUAAUUCCAGCUCCAAUAGCGUAUAUUAAAGUUGUUGCAGUUAAAAAGCUCGUAGUUGAACCUUGGGCCUGGCUGGCCGGUCCGCCUCACCGCGUGUACUGGUCCGGCCGGGCCUUUCCUUCUGGGGAACCUCAUGCCCUUCACUGGGCGUGUUGGGGAACCAGGACUUUUACUUUGAAAAAAUUAGAGUGUUCAAAGCAGGCCUUUGCUCGAAUACAUUAGCAUGGAAUAAUAGAAUAGGACGUGUGGUUCUAUUUUGUUGGUUUCUAGGACCGCCGUAAUGAUUAAUAGGGAUAGUCGGGGGCAUCAGUAUUCAAUCGUCAGAGGUGAAAUUCUUGGAUUGAUUGAAGACUAACUACUGCGAAAGCAUUUGCCAAGGAUGUUUUCAUUAAUCAGUGAACGAAAGUUAGGGGAUCGAAGACGAUCAGAUACCGUCGUAGUCUUAACCAUAAACUAUGCCGACUAGGGAUCGGACGGUGUUAGUAUUUUGACCCGUUCGGCACCUUACGAGAAAUCAAAGUUUUUGGGUCUGGGGG